RNAcentral lists this unclassified non-coding RNA (4738 nucleotides) under Hevea brasiliensis (rubber tree). Lineage: Eukaryota; Viridiplantae; Streptophyta; Magnoliopsida; Malpighiales; Euphorbiaceae. The record is from RNAcentral.
AAAAAAAAAAAAAAAAAAGUUAAUACUCGGUGGUUUUCUAAAUGCGACAUUUAAUUUUGGACAAGAAAAACUCAAUUGUGGCAGAUAAAAAUGGACGAAGGAAGUAACAUGCACAAAAAUAAACGAGUUCAGGUAUUUUUUGAGUACUAAUAAUCAGGUUUGCAAUGAGUUCGGGUAGUUAAGGGUGACUUUUAAUCGGGUUUGAAACGGGUUCAUGUAAUGAGAAUAUUAAUCGGAUUCAAUUUGGAUAUGGUGAUUUUCGCGAGUACUAUACCCGUCCCAUCCCACCAUAUCCAGCAUUUAACCUAACUAAUCUUUUUCUACAUAGAGCCCAAUAACUUUGCUAGUCUUGUCCAAUCUUAUGAUCUAUCAACUCUAUAAAACAUCACUUCACAGUGAUACUAAAGUGGUAAUCAGCUCAAAUCAACCAAGUAGUCCAAACCUAUGGAAUGAAUCCUCAUCUUGGGCAUGCCCAAUAGCUUAUCACCUCAAACAUAAAGCAAAAAGCACUUCAAGUUUAUAAUUUACCCAUCUACCAGACAGAAGAAUCAUACCCAACUAGUUUCAGCUGCAUGAAGCCUUAAUCAUGGCAAUGCAACUUGAUGAUGUAUAGUAAAAAUCUUGCCAAGUAUUUUUCUGGAGCCAUUAGUAUGCUUCAGAAAACACCAAUGUCAGAUAAAAGAAAGAAAAUAACCACCAAAGACAAUAUCCUGGAAGAAGCACAGAGAUCUCUAGCCAGCUACCAACACAUGAGCAUGCAUUCAUAUAUGUCUCCCUGCGUGUAGGCGUGUGUAGAGUGAGAAACAAAAAGUUUAGGAUUUCACCUCAACAUACGCUAAAUAUAGUUUUCUCAAGCAAAACCAAGCAACACAUGCAAUCCUGGAUUGGCAAAUAAAUAAAAUAAUAAUACCUAACUGGUUGAGCAUUUUCAACAAAUAUGCAUCCAGGCUAUGAAAAAUUACAGAUAAUAGAGCUUGUAGAUGGGUAAUAUCCAUAGGGAGAUUGAAGCCAAAGAACUGAUCCACAGUCUGCAAGGUAACUUGAAUACGUGAGGGAAAAUCAUUGAAAACAAGAAUUCAAACAACAAAAUAUACAUGUACAUACACAAACAGAAAACUUAUUACAACAGAAUUUACACAGAAACAAGCAAGUGAUAAUGUUGACAUGUUCUGUGAACUGAUAUCAAGUUGUUAACAUUCUUCUUUUUCAGUCUGUGAAUGGCUUCAAUAAAAUAAAAAAGCAACCUUUUAGACCAUGAAAACAAAACUUCUUAGUGCAAGUAGAUCCAUCCCAACAAAGAAGGAAAUUCUCUUGGAUAGUCAUCAUGCAACAAAAACAUCAGUGAAUGAAACUAUCUCAGAAUUUAUUUUUACCUCUUCUAUAAUUCUAAAAACUUCAACUAUAGAUGCUGCCUGCCGUUGAUGAAAUGAUAAAGGCUCCCAAUCCUCAAUAUCAAAAGCACGUCCAGUCCAUUCCAAAAUAUGAGCAUGCUGAGAUAUCACCCAAUCGAGAAUGAGUGGUGCGGAAACUUCCCCAAUCUGAUAAUGAUCCAAAACUUGACUGGAAGAGAGAAGCAACCUAUUUGCAUCCAGAGCUGUAGUAUGUAGCCGAGUUAAAUAAUGAUCCAACAUUUCAGCAGCAGGAAGAACAGCCCUAACAUCUUCAGAAAGAGAUGACAAUCUCUUGAGGAAAGGUCUCAGUCUUUCCCCAUAAAAUUGGUGCAACAGAACAACUGACAUCAUCAGGGAUUCAGGACACCACUGAUGUAACACUGGCCAAAAGACAUUGAAGUCUCUUUCAGCAAUCAACUUUAGCUCCUUAGCAAGCAUAGCCAAUGGAUGCAUCCUUUGUACUCUAGAUUCAAGAUCCACUUUACUUGCAACCCGCCCGCAUGCAGCAUUAGUAGAGCUUGUGAUGUAAUAUUUAAGCUUUCUAGAGACAUUAUCAUUUGAAGAACUAAAUUUUGUUAACUUGAUUUCAUCACAAUCAUCAGAAGUAAGAAUUCCAACUGCUGACAGUAGGGCCAUCAUUGUUCUGAAGCAAGAAGGUUUCUGACUGAAAUGAAGAUGAUAAUCUUGCAGUGCACUGUCACACCAAAUGCUUAUUGAGACACUAAUAGCCUGCACCAAAUUUAACUCUAGUUCUUGGCCAUCAUAUUGCCUUGAACAUACUAGGCUGUUCAUAUACUGCUCCUCCUUCCUAUCAGCCUCUUCAGCAGUUUGAACUUUCUGCAACUCAAUAACUGCAUUUUCUAAAAGCAAACCCUCAUCUGUCUCCACAAACUGUUGAAAAAGGACCCACGCAUAUAAUGCAUUAUGCAUUUUCUGAGUGAUGCCUAAAGUAGACCACGUUAAUUUUAUAAGUGACAAGAAUUCAUCAGCUUCCUGGAAAAAAAAUUUAAUUGGCAAAACUGAGCAUCAUUCACAUAACACAAUAUGGAAAUAACAACAACAACUCAGCAUUAAUCCCAAAGUAGUUGGGGUCAGCGAACAACGUUGAAAUAACUUGACCAAAAUCAAGACAUGAAUCUACCUCUAUAAGUUGGCCUUCAUCAAGAACAUCAAACACAGCAAAAAGUAAUUUUUGAUAAAGUCUGAUGUUCAAGUGAUAACCAGUAGUCCAAUACAAGGUUUCACCUUGGAUGUCAAAUCUCCCAGGCAAAGAUGACAAAUUUACAGCAACUUGUCUAAUAGAUGCUAGAACUGCAACGCGCUCAGAAGGUGACAUUAUAGUGUCCCAUUCCUUCUCAUGUCUGAUCUUUGCAGCAUGGCUUCUAAUGGUUAGAUGGUCGGUUUUCUGCACACUAGCAGGAAAACAAAGAAAUUCUUCUAAUAUAUUUGCCUGAAACAAUAAAUGCAAAUAAAAUAGCACAUUCAAAAAUUAGAAAACCUUAAGAUAUCCCUUUUUUGUCAAAUUAAAUGAACAACCCAUAAUAUGUUCAGAACCAUACAAACAUCAUAAAUAGCAUCAAGUAACAGACUGUUAUAAUUUCAUAAUUCAGUGCAAUUGCACCUAGAUAGUUAAUUAGUUAAGCAACUUUUGACUCUAGACCCUGAAAUUAACCCCAAUCUAGGUCCAACCUUAGACCAUUAGGCCCAAAACAAAAUUGAAAUGGGCAGGCCGAUAUGUUUAUAUUUGGUCUGUUUUAUUAUAGAGACAAUUAGUGUUAUAUGCAUUCACUUAUGUUUGUGUGCACCAUAAAUGUUUUCUCUACCAUAUUCGUGGUGGACUAAAGGAAAUGCAAAUUGAUUCAUCAAUUGUGAGGGAAACCAAUCUCCCUUAUGCCAUAUUAUAGUGCUUAAAAAUGUCUGCCAGUUCUAUAUAAAAAUGAAAAGAGAAUCAACAAAUAAAGUUGAUCAAUACCUGCCUGUUCUUCCAUUGCAUAUAAGAUUUUUCAUUACGAAAAUCAGACUUGAAAAUACCAUUCAAAAGGCCCAGUGACACAUGAGGAAGGUCAAUCUGUCCAUGCAUUUGCCUUGCUGCCAACUGCAUCAAAUUUCGCCUAAUGCAAGCAUCCAUAGCUUCUGAAAUCUGCAUCUGAACACGGACAGUGUCCAUGAGCUCUGAGGGUCUUCCUAAAGACUCUGAUUGUGAAAGCACUUUGUCCCUUUUACUUUUCAAGCUAGACAAAAAUUUGGAACUCUUUUCUUUCUUUCUAUCGUCAACUGAAUAACUUCCAACCCCAGACAAAAAUAUAGAAGCAAGCAAUAACUCAUAGGCUGAUUCCCGCAAGUCAUCAUCAGACAAUCCUGAAGUUAUGUAUCAGUUUACUCAAAAUAAAAUAAAAUAAAAGACCAAUGCUUUCUAUAAAUAUAUAAUUUUCAUAUAUGGGGAAUAGAAAAACCUACGCAACCACUUUUUUAUUUUUUUUUUCCAGCCACAAUUUGUAGAUUUUCUAGUGCAUUUUCAUGAGGCAAUGUAAGUUACCAGCCAGUACCUGUGUAAAGGCUAGGUAAACCAAGUGGAGGAAUUUCUGAAUUUUGUGAAGGCCUAGUAGGUGUAUUUGUUGCUACUUUAUAUCUAGGACCACAGUCAUCCCCAAAUUUUGUGGCAUUCUCAACACUUGAACUUCCCAAUCCCAUUACACUCGAUGAUUAAGAUGCAUUAGUGGCUUGGCGCACAGUAAUAGGAGAAGGUACACGCCUAGGGGGAGAUCCAGCCAAGUCUGGAUCAGAAACAAGAAAAUAGGAGUUCCUUGUAUGUGAUUGACUCUGCAAAUACUAGAAAAUAAGAAGUUAAAGUCGCAGCACAUAUACUGAAAACCAGCUGUUCCACCAGCAUUCUUCCAUUAUUUUCAAGCCUUCAAGUUCAACUACAGCUUUUUCGGAGCUAACAGAUUUCAUAAAUCACCAGCGUCAACCCAAUCUUUGUGAGCUUCAUAAUAAUGUUCUUUUCCAAUUUAAUGAUUAGCGGAAAAUGGCAAAAGAAAACAACUACAAGCUACGUCCGAAGCAGAAUUCAAGUUCUAUAAUCUUCACAACCUAAGCAUCAAUUUUCCGUGACAGGACGCCUUAGUCGCUUCAGUAACAUCAUAACUCCACCUGAUUUUAGGCAGAGGAGGAUGUAAUCGGAGCUGAGAGAAUCAAAGUCGAGAUUAGAUAGAGAAUUGGUGGGACCGGAUGGAGUUCGGGGCUCCUUGAUCAAAACAGAAAAUAAAAGAAACUCUAAGAGCUUCCGGCGAUCUCGGCGGUAACGCUGCAAAAGAGCUACAGCUCGAGAGAGAGAGAAAGAGAGAGAG